UGAUCCAAGUUGUGACUGAGACAUCCCCAUUGAUCGCCAGGGCUGAUUAGGCCGAUCUGGCUGGCUAGGUGGGUGUCCCCUUCCUCCCUUGCUGCUCUGUGUGAGUCACUCCCAAAGCUGUACACUGGUAGAAGAGGACGCCCUUCCCUGAACAGAGAUGGACCUGGCUUUGGUUGAGGGUAUAUGAGUAGCUGCGCUCCCCUGCUAUAACCUCCAAAGAAGCUCACAGGGCAAGAUUUUAUCUUCUCUUAUAACCUAGUAAUAUUCAAUUGGGUAUACAUAUCAGAUCUUCAUU
RNAcentral lists this small nuclear RNA (295 nucleotides) under Erinaceus europaeus (western European hedgehog). RNAcentral's name for it is "7SK RNA". It matches the Rfam family "7SK RNA". From Rfam's summary of the family: 7SK was discovered as an abundant small nuclear RNA in the mid-70s but a possible function has only recently been suggested. Two independent studies have found that 7SK RNA binds the CDK9/cyclin T complex (known as elongation factor P-TEFb). Lineage: Eukaryota; Metazoa; Chordata; Mammalia; Eulipotyphla; Erinaceidae. The record is from Rfam by way of RNAcentral.